UUAUUAAUCCGAAAGGACGACAGCUGUAUCAAACUGUUAUAAAUAGGCACAAUAACCUUGGAAUAAUAUCUUCUGGUAAGCCGACAUAUUGGCCUAUUGAUUGUAAGAAAAUACCAGAUUUAAUUGAUUUUACUGUAAUCAAAAAUAUAGAUAAAUCGCACAUAACAGCUGAUACAUGUACUAAUCUAUCUUCUGAUUACUCUCCUGUACUAAUAAAGUUAUGUGAACAACCCAUAUUCGUUAAUCCAAAAAAGAGUCUAACUUCUUAUAAAACGAAUUGGCUAAAAUAUAAAAAAUACGUGAGUAGCCACAUUAAUAUUGAGUACAGAAUAAAUACAGGAAGAGAUAUUGACGAAAGCAUAAAAAAAGUCAACAAUAUAAUAACCAGCGCAGCUGUCUUAGCAACAACAAACAAAAACUAUAAGCCGCUAGGUCGCAGAAAAAUCACUAAUAGUGAAAUAGAAAAGCUUGUAAAUGAAAAAAGGCGUGCAAGAUGUGAAUGGCAGAUAAAUCGAUCCCAUUCCACUCAGCUUCAAUUGAAAUCUGCUGUACGUAAACUAAAAAAGCGCGUAAAUGUGAAGAAGAAUUCAACACCGAAGUGUAUAUAAAGAAGCUGUGUCCAAAUUCAAACAAGCAAAAUUCCCUUUGGAAAGUCCAAAAGUCCAUGAAGCCACCAACUGACUCCAACAUGCCUAUACGAGACUUGGGUGGAAAUUGGGCUCGAAGUGACAAGAAAACGGCUAAUUGUUUUGCAAAUCACCUAGAAAAGGUAUUUCAACCCAAUUUGACAAAGAACAACUUUAAGCUGUCAAUCUUACCCAACACAGCUAAAGAGUCGUUCGAGUCUUUUAAGACUUCAAGAACAAACGCUACAGAAAGUUUCGACAAUAACCAAGAAAUAGGCAUUCGAAUGGUCGACUGGUGAUACGCGUUUACAGCGUUUACGGCAUUAGACACCUUGGCGAAAAGGUUGCGCAGAGUUUGGGUGAACCUCUUGCACAAAUGACACUCAACACUUUCCAAUUUGCUGGCUGAUUUGACGAUACAUUAUGUAACAUUAUGUAUAAAAAUUCGGAUGUCAUUGAUUUCACAAAUACAAUACAAGUUUUGCCUUUACCGCCACCAAUAUUCGCCAGUAGUGGUUUCGUGAAAAGAUACAAGAUUUAUCAAACAAAAAGUGGAAGGACCCUGAACAAAAGUAAAUUAUUUAAAUGUUUUCGACAUUUAUUUUAUUUGUUACCACUGUAUGCAACCUUUAGAAAAUUUGUAGAAAAUGUGCGUCGCUUGACGAAUAACAAUGCAUUGGUAGUGCCUAUGUCAGAAUACGAUGUAACAACAAUAUAGUUGCAACAAUUUACACAAUGUCCCAAUUAUAAAGUUCAAUACUGUUCCGAAGAUUUUCUUAUGGAGGCUUUAAAUAAAUACCAUCGAGAUGCUUGUUUGGGCGCUUUCCACACAGACGACACACACCCAAUAAAUGCGUUGAAUGAAGAGGUGUAAACAAAUAACUUGAAUAUUACUUUUUUUUUACAUGUUUUACACUUUCCGAGAAAUUCAUUAUCCGCCGGGAACUGGUAAAUUUAUGUUAAUUGCUCGUUUAAUAGAAAUGUAUAAAUAAGGUAACAACAAAGAACAGUUUCUCCAGUCAUUUCAAUCUUUCCAAUCGCUAAUAUCCGUACAACUUCGUGCUGUACCAACGACAGAACAGAAGAAUCCGCUGAUGAGACUGAUUAGUUUUUUGAAGUUAUACUUCUUAUACGAGUUCGGAAAAGGUUGCGAUAGAUUCAGGUUGCGCAACCUUGCUCAAUAUGAAUCUACCCAACCCCUUGCUCAAUAUAAAUCUACGCAACCCCUUGCUCAAUAUGAAUCUACGCAACCUUGCUCAAUUUGAAUCUACGCAACCUUGCCUGCGAAGAUGUUCGAGCAGCAAGCGAAGCGGUGAAAAUCGGCGAUCGUUUGUUCGUUUCUUUCGGCACAGCUCGGCUUUUCUACCAACAACACAAUGUUGCCAUGCUUAUGCUGUUGUUGUUUUUGUAGACCAAUGUUUCAAUUUUUGGUUGGUGACAUAUUCAAUUAAAAAUAAAUUCUGUUGGGAUUCGAACCUACGUGCUCGUCGUAACUUUUCAAGCGCUUACCACCAACACCACCAUUGACACUUGUAUUGCGUUGUCCUAAUUAUGGUUUGGUUAUGCAUGAAAGAAAUAUACAAUGGAUCGCCGAUUGUUAACUCUUUCCUUUCUGCUGCUGCGCAUAUGUACGUUUGUAUGCUUGUGCAUUAUUGAAGUUAUGCUUCUUUUACUUUCGUUUGUCUUUCAUUUCUGCGAAUU
This is a long non-coding RNA of Bactrocera neohumeralis, 2327 nucleotides long. RefSeq lists it as uncharacterized. The record is from RefSeq and is a predicted model, not a curated record. NCBI's taxonomy places the organism in Eukaryota, Metazoa, Arthropoda, Insecta, Diptera, Tephritidae. The transcript is spliced from 5 exons.